Molecule: transfer RNA, 62 nt
Filed under: Shigella flexneri
Lineage: Bacteria; Pseudomonadati; Pseudomonadota; Gammaproteobacteria; Enterobacterales; Enterobacteriaceae
Also listed under: 1 other name
Description: tRNA-Thr
Rfam family: tRNA
About the family: Transfer RNA (tRNA) molecules are approximately 80 nucleotides in length. Their secondary structure includes four short double-helical elements and three loops (D, anti-codon, and T loops).
Source: RNAcentral
CUUAGCUCAGCAGGCAGAGCAACUGACUUGUAAUCAGUAGGUCACCAGUUCGAUUCCGGUAG